CAAGCUCAGUCAUGACAGGUUCUUUUUUUUUUCCUUUUUAUUAAAUUCUGCAUACAGUUAUUAAGCCUCAAGAAGCUUUUCUUAUUGUUCACCAUUCCUGUAUUGGUUGUGGAACUAAAGGGUUUCUGAUUUUUCUUUAUAAACUGACUAGUAAACAUUUGAUUGCUGUCCAUAUUUCCAGGAAAAGAAAAUAACCAAGCAUAGAUUUAAUGAAAGAGUAAAAUUGCCAGUGUUUCUGCCAUUGGGGAGUAAUUUAAUGUUCUUGGGGAAUUUGUGACUAAUUAAUUUCAUUUGAAUAAUCAGCACUUUAUAAUCAUGUUAAAUAGCUAUGGCUUAAGCAUUUUGAUUUGCUUCUUAAUUAAAUAAUUUCACCAGAACCUAUAUAAGAUUUUUCAGCUUUAAAUCAUAUUGACAACCUGUUCUUGAUGUAUUUAUUAUCCAAAUAAUACACUUUUAGAAAGUGUAUGAGCAUCACAAUUUUUUAAAUAAAUAUUUCCAAUCGAAUACUGUUUCUCAUUUGUCAUAACAGAAACCCAAAUUACGUAGCACAACCCACCCCAAAAUAUUAGCUCCUGAAGCUCUGUAUUUUAGUCCUGCAGGGUGUAAGUGAUUUAUAAAAGCUUUCAGGGAUGUCUGGGUAACUCAGUUCGCUGAGAGUCCGACUCUUGAUUUCAGCUCAGGUCAUUAUCUCAUAGUUUGUGGGAUCGAACCCCAUGUUGGGCUCCACGCUGACAGUGUGGAACCUACUUGGGAUUCUCUCUCUCCCUCUGCCCCUCCCCUGUUCUCUGUCUCUGUCUCUCUCUCUCUCAAAAUAAAUAAGCUUUAAAAAAAAGAAAAAAGCUUUCAGGAAAGACUCUGCAUAUUUAGUUACAAGACAGCAGAAUGAUCACCCACUGCAGGUUACCACGGCAGGGGGGGGAUAUCUUGCUGCCCCUGAGACACAACCCUGCAAAGCACUGUUCUUCUGCAUGUGAAAUACUCCAGACAUUCAGAAUGUACAAAGAAUUUCAUGAUGAAAACGGCUUGCUAAUUAUCUUAGUUUAAUAAACAUUAACAUCUUACCAUGUUUGCUUUUGAUGUUUUAUUUUAAAAAUAAAAUAUUUCAGGGGCGCCUGGGUGGCUCAGUAGGUGAAGUGUCUGACUUCAGCUCAGGUCAUGAUCUUGCGGUCCGUGAGUUUGAGCCCCGCGUCGGGUUCUGUGCUGACAGCUCGGAACCUGGGGCCUGCUUCAGAUUCUAUGUGUGUCUCUCUCUUUGCCCCACCUUCGCUUGCACCCUGUCUCUGUCUCUCUCUCUCUCUCAAAAAUAAACAUUAAAAAAAUAAUAAUAAAAUAUUUCAGCUAAAAGCGAAGACUUCUUUUUACCUCUCUAUGACCUGAUGACCUUCCCUCUCAAUAAGAAACCUGUGUGUUAACUAUUGUUGCAUAACAAAUUACCACAAAACCUAGUGACUUAAGACAGUAGACAUUUAUUACCUCACACAGUUCCUGAGGGUCAGGUGUCCAGGAUAGACUUAGCUGGUAGAGAGACCAGCUGUCUCACAAGGUUGCUGUCAAGCUGUUGUCUGAAACUUCUCAGGGUCCUACUGGGGCUAAGAAUCCUCCUCCACACUCACUCACGUGUUGGCAGACCUUACCUCCUCGCUGGCUGGAGACUUGAGUCCUCACCACGUGGGCCUUUCCCUAGGACCGCUCACAAUAUGGCAGCUUGCGUUUCCCCACCAGCAACAAGUCAGAGAGAAAUCGAAAAUGGGAUGCUAAAUAUGGAAGCCACAGUUGUUUACAUCCUAACUUGGAGGUGACUCACCAUCAUUUCUGCCAUGUACUGUUGAUGACAGAGACCAACCCUGAUCCAGUAUGGGACAGGACUCCACAACGCUCUGAAUACCAGAAGGGGGAAUCAUUGGGGGCCAUCUUGAUGGCUGGCUACUACAACUCCAAAAAUGUUUUUAUAUUCUUAUCACAAAUAUUUAUAGCAUAAGAAAUAUGUAACACUGCUUUUUUGCAUGCUUUUGAUCGUAUAAACAUCUUACUGUGUAUAUCAUCCUACACACACACUUACGUUUUUGAGCUGUUCCUAUGUUGAUAUUAUCUUACUCAUCUGUUUUCUCUGUUGUAUGGCAUUCCACUGUGUGGAAUACCAUGAUUUAGAGAUCAAGUAUUUAAUGAAAAGAUUGUUUUCAUUUUUCACUAUUGAGAAUGAACUGAACGUUCUGGAGCAUACCAACUUAUGUAUAUGUGCAAAACUUUCUAAGGUAUAUAUAUUUGGAAGUGAAAAGACUGAGUCACGAUGUGUAUGUAUCUUCAGCUCUCUUACAGAGCUGCAUUGCUCUCCGAAGUGGUUGUUUUCUACCAGCUACGAUGACGGGUCCCUUUAUUCCACACGCUGACCAACAGAGAUCUAUCAGACCUGAGUUUUUGUCAGUCUGUUGGUGUGAAUGUUGCUUUUGAUAUUUAUUUUUUUAUUUGCAUUCAGUAAUUAUUUGUGGAGUCUAUUCUUUAUGUUUAUUGAUCAUUUGAAUUUCCUCUUCACAUUCUUUGUUCUGUUUUCUAUUGUGUUAUUUGUCUUAUUCUUACCGAUCAGAUGGAAGUUUUAUGUGUUCUGAAUACCAGUCAUUCCUGGUUUAUAUGUAUUACAAUAAUUUUCUUCAGCUUCCGACUUGAUUAUCAUUUUGUUUUUAGUUUCUUUUGAUGAAUCAAAUUUCUCAGUUUUUUUAAAGGGUUUUUUUUUUAUGUUUGAUUUUAUUUUUUGAGAGCUGAAGAGAGACAGAGUGCAAGUUGGGGGAGGGGCAGAGAGAGAGGGAGACAGACUCCAAAGCAGGCUCCGGGCUCUGAGCUGUCAGCACAGAGCCUGAUGCUGGGCUAGAACCUAUGAAUGUGAGAUCAUGACCUGAGCCGGAGUCGGACGCCUAAGCGUCCGACUGAGCCACCCAGGUACCCCUCAAAUCUCUAGUUUUAAUGGGAGUCAAAUUUAUCAUUUUUCUGUAUUGUUUGUACCUUUGUAUGUCUUGGUAAAAAACCAAAACCAAAACAAACAAACAACAACAACAGAACACCAUCCCCCCUCAAAAGUCCAUCCUUUUCUCACUUGUUUGCAAUGAAAUCAAAGUCAUUUAUCAAGUAUCUAUAUGUGUGUAUCUGUGUACUUACAUAUAUUUGAAGGCAUGAGUUAGUUCUGAGACCUCCAAUUCCAGCCCAACACCCUAGAGUUUAUUCUGGCCUGCCCCCAACAGGGACAAACAUGGCUCUCAUUUUCUACAGUAUAUUUACUUUUUUUUGCCCUUUCCUAGUAUAAAUAGUUUCAGUUAUUCACCCACUUCCGUACAGUGCUGUCUUUAGCCUUUUACUAUAUAGUCAAGAUACUGUUUACCAGUUACUAUAUUUUCUUCUUCUCCCUUUGCUUCAGUGUGGGUAUGUUACUCAUUUGGAAAAAAAAAAAACAAAAACAAAAAACAAACAAACAAAACAACAAAAGAGAAACCAGGCUCAUUGUUUGUAUUCCAUUUUGAAUUGCCUGUGCAUCCCAGUUGGUUUCAAUUAUUUCUUUGCUUUAAUGAGUGUGUGGUAUAUUGACAUGCGUUGAAAAGAAUACGUGAGAAAGUAUCCUUGGAGAGAAGUGUCACUCUCCCUUUGUUCCUCCUGUCCCAUUCCUUUUCCUCAUUCUGUCUACUUCAUUCCCAUCAGUGCCCUGGGAGGGGUGAGAUUAGUUUCCGGUCCAUUGUUUUUGUUACAAAAGAACAGGUGCAGGUUUGUUUCCUUUUGUUCUUUCUUACCUGGAAGAGAGCACACUACCAGUAUAGAUACUCUUUUGCUCCUUGUUGGUUUUUUUUUCUUCAUUUAGCAAUGUAUUCUAGAGCUCAUUCCAAAUAAAUUUAUAUAAACCUUCAUUCCUUUUAUAAAAAAAUAAUUGUAUAGAACUCCCUUGUGUGAAUGUAUCAUAAUUUAUGAAAUGACUUUCCUAUAUAUGGGCAUUUAGCUUAUUUUUUAAUAUCUUUCAACUACAAACAAUGCCAUAAUGAACGCAGUGUAUUGUUAGAAAUGCAUCUUCAAAGUAAAAUCCCAGAGGUACAAUUUCUAGGUCAAAAAGUAAGAACAUGUACAGUUUUGUUAGGUUUUACCAAGUCCUCCUAUAAAAUAUUUGCACCAUGGGGCACCUGGGUAGCUCAGUUGGUUAAGCAUCCAACUUCAGCUCAGGUCAUGAGCUCAUGGUUUGUGGGUUCGAGUCCCACGUCAGGCUCAGUGCUGACAGCUCAGAGCCUGGAGUCUGCUUAAGAUUCUGUGUCUCCCUCUCUCUGUCCCUUCCCUGCUUGUGCUUGCUCUCUCUCUCUCAAAACGAAAUAAACAUCAAAAAAAUUUUAAAUAAAUGAAAAAAUAAAAUAUUUGCACCAGUUUGCAUUCCCACCAGCCCCAUAGGAGAGUACUUCCCAAAGCUUUGCCAACCACAUAUGCCAUGAUAGUUUUCAUUUGCCAACCCAAUAGAUGAGAAAUAACAAUAUUGUGUUAGUUUGCACUUCUCUGAUUAUGAGAAACUUGGAACAAUUUGCAUAUGUUUAAGGGCUGUUUUUUACUCUUCAUAAAUCAUUGACUUCCUGUUUUCCUUUUGGGUUUUUGGCCUUUGGUUUUGCAUUUUUGAAGCGUUCUUUGCAUACUGGGGAUAUUAACCCUUUAUCUGUGACACAUGCACAAAUGUUUUCUUCUGGUUUGUUACUGUUUUUUGACUAUGUCUAUGGUAGUUUUUACCCCUCAAACUUAUAAAAAAAUUCAUGCAAACUUAUUAUUUUAUUUCCUCUGUAAAUUUAAUCAUGGUUAGAAAGACCCUCCCACACUACUGUUAUAGAGAAACCCACUCUUUUUUUUUUUCUUUCAGAACUUGUAUGCUUGAUCUUUCUUUUAAAUUUAGACCCCUGAUACAUUUGAAGUUUAUUCUUGGGUAUGACAUGAGGUAUAGAUCUAAUUGUAUCUUUUUCAAAAUGGCUACCCAGCCUCCUUUAUUAAAGGUCUAUCAUUGUCCCAAUGACUUGAGAUGUCAUCUUUAUCAUCCACUAAAUUUCUAUACAUCCUUAGGUCUAUUUCUGGGGUUUCUAUUCUGUUCCACUGGUCUAUGAUCUAUGGUCUAGUCCUAUGGUAGUGCCACACUGUUUAAUUAUAGAAGCUUUGUAGUAUGUUUUAAUGUCUGAUAUGUCUAGUCCCCCGGAGCAGAUUUCCUUUUUUUAGUAUUUUUCUGGGUAUCCUUGCAUGUUUGUUUUGCCAAAUAAUCUUUGUACCAAUGUGUCUAACUCCAUACAACAAAGGCUUGUUGGUAUUUUUAAUGGGAUUGCAUCAAUUAACCAAGUGAGAGCUGACAUCCUUCCGAUGCUGAAACACCCUUUGAAUCACAUGAGAUUCUCUCCAUGUGUCUAUUUUUAUGUCUUCCUAGAGUAAUUUUAAGUUUUCCUCAUAUAAGUUUUACAUAUGAUUUGAUAAAUUUAUUCCUGUGUAUUUGAUCUUCUUUGUUGCCAAUGUAGAUUGGGGUUUCUCUUUCAUAUUUUCUCUAGAUAGUGUUUGUGUAUAGGAAAGCUAUAUUGACUUGUCUGUUAAUUUUGUAUCUUGCUACCUUACUGAAUUCUUAUACUGUUUGAGUCCGUUUUAUCAUUGACCAUCGAUGUUCUAGAGCUUUCCAGUUAUACUGUUGUGUCGGUAAAGACAGAGACGGUUUUACUUCUUUACCAAAUAUUUUGCCUCUGAUUAUUUUAUCGUCUCUAAUUGCAUUGGCUAAUACCAUUAGGACAGUGUUGAAUAGUCGUGGAGGUACACAUUUUUGCCUUGUUCCUGAUUUGUAUGGAAAUUCUUGUUGUGUUUCCACAUUUAAGUAAAAUAAUAGCUUUAGGACUAAUAUAUAUUUUUUUUAUCAUCUUAAGGUGUUUUAACACAUUAAGAAAGUGUCCUUCAAUUCCUGUUUUCUUGAGUGCUGCUACUUGGAAUGGGUAUUGAAUUUUUGUCCAAGGCUUUUUGAACAUCUAUGGAGAUAACCAUAUUUUUUUUCCUGAGACCUAUCAAUAUGGAUUUACUAAUAUAGAAACUACAUUAAAUUACUAGAAUAGAUCCCAGUUCGUCAUGGUAUGUUAUUUUCUUUAUGUGGUAUUAGAUUCUGUUUGCUGAUAUUUUAGCUAAUCUUUUUGCAUCAAUAUUCAUGAGUGACAAUGGUCUGCAGCUUUCUUUUUCUUCUACUUUUUUGAGAGAGUCUUCAUCAGGCUUAGGUAUCAAAAUUGGGGUAUACUCAAUUUAUUAAAAGAAUAAGGAAGUUUUCCUUUAUUUUUAUAUUAGUAUUUUAUACUAGUUUUCUAUUUACUGCUGUAAUCAUCACAAACUUAGUGGCUUAAAACGGUACAAAUUUAGUAUCUAACAGGUCUUGAGGUCAAAAGUCCAAAGUGAGUCUCAAUGACCUAAAACUGAGAUAUUGGCAGGCUGCAUUCAUUUCUGGAGGCUCUCAGGGAAGAUCUGUUUUGUUGCCUUUGCCUGCUUCUCGAGGCCACUCAUGUUCCUUGGUUCAUGGCUUCCUUCCAUUUCCAAAGCCAAUAGGGAUCUAGUUUUUCUUUUAUCCCAUCUCCCUGUUGCUGACUGUCCUGUCUCCCUCUUCCACAUUUAAGGACUCUUGUAAUUACAUUGGCCCUUCCCAUAAUCCAGGAUAAUCUCCCUACUUCAAGGCCAUCUGAUUAGUAGAUUUUAUUUCUACUUACAACCUUAAUUCCUCUUUGCCAUGUAUAUGGCAUAGUCAUAGGUACUGGGGAUUUAGAUACUGACAUCUUUUGUGGGGAGAGAGGCAGUAUUCUGCCUGCCAUAAUCUUCACGCUCUAGAGCAAUUUACAGAGCACUAGAAUAUUUGAUUAUUGCGGGUUUGGUAGACGCUCAUGGGCCUGAUGCUUUUUUUGUGUGGUAUCUUUAAUAAUUGCUCUCUCUGUAGGGGCACCUGGGUGGCUCAAGGCCGUUAAGCAUCCGACUCUUGAUUUUGGCUCAGGUCAUGAUCUCACAGUUCGUGAGUUAAAGCCUCAUGUCAGGUUCUGCACCUACAGGGUGGAGCCUGCUUGAGAUUCUCUGUCUCCCUCUCUCUGUCCCUCCUCCACUCACUUGCUCUGUCUCAAAAAUAAAUAAACAUUUGAAAAAAUAAUAAUUGUGUCUGUAUCCUCUGUGGAAAUUUGGUGCAUUUAAAUAUUUUCCCUCUCUUAGGCUCAAUUUUGGUAAUCUAUGUUUCUUUAGAAAAUUAUCGAUUUAAUGUAAGAUUUCAAAUUUAUUUGUAUAGAGGUGGGCAAACAAAGCCUCUUAAGACGUUUAAUUCUUUUUUCCAUUCACUUUUUGUCAUUCCUUAUUUUAUUUGUGCUUUCCCUCUUUUUUAUUGUUAAGUUAGCUAGUGGUUUGCUAUUUUGUUAACUUUUUUCAAUUAAGUCUACUGGUUUCCUAUUCUGUAUUUCAUUAAUUUCUGCUUUUGUCUUUAUCAUUUUCUUCUUAGUGCUUUCUUUCAGUCUACUUUGUUGUUGUUUGCUAGGUUUGUUUUUUUUUUUCAGCUAAGUAUUUGAGUCAUUCAUUUACAUCCUUUUAUUUAUUACUUAUGAAAGCAUCUCCUGCUAUGAGUUUUUCUCCAAAAACUGCUUUAAAUGUAUCCCAUGUGUUAGUGUUUUUGUAUUUUGUUUCAGUGGCUUAAAAAAAAAUCCUUUGACUUCACUUUAUGUCUUCACUGUUACCCAAGAGUUGUCACGUAGGAGGAGGCUUUUUAAAUUUUUUCAGGUGGAUGACCGUUUUGUUUUUGGUUUGGUUAAGGAUUUCUAUUUUCCUUUCAUUAGUUAAUAAUUUCUACUUUUACUGCAUUGUGAUCAGUUUUGUUCAUCAUAUUUUUAAUUCAUGGAACCUACUGACAUUUUCUUUGUGACCAGUUUUUAUGAGUGGUUCAAAAGCCCUUGAUAAAAAAGGUGUGUUCACUUAUAUUAUCAAAAUAUAAAGUUCAAUAUAUACCCAUAAGACCUACCUAGCUGAUUAUGUUUUGUUUUGUUUGUCCAUUUAAUCUGUCUUGAAUUAAGAGUGGUAAAUCUCGGACAUAAAUUAUAUUGGAGCAUAGAUAUUCAUAAGUAUUAGAUCUUCAUUGGAGAUUUGGCUUUCAGCAAUAAAAGGUGCCCUUCUUUGUUGUGUUUAACACUUUUAGGCUUGAAUCAGGGUUUCCUACUGCUGCUUUCUUAAUGUUUCCAUUUUCCUGAAAUACCUUUACCCAUCCAUUUGUAUUUUGUUUUUUAAAUCUUUUUUUAUAUAUUGAAUGGAGAUAGCAUAUAACUGGGCCUUCCAUUGUGAGCAUAAUUGAGGAUCUUUUUCCUUUUAAUUGGUACAUUUAGUCCAUGACACUUAUUGAUACGGUUGAUAUGUUAGAUCUCAUUUCUAUCAUGUUUUAUAAUUGCAUGUAUUAUGUUAUUUAGUCCGUGUUUCUUUUUCUAAAGAUGUGUAUUAUUUGCCCUUGAAUUUAAUUUAUGGCCUCCACAGUAAGUUUAGUUGCCAUCUAUAAUCAUAAAAACUUAUUAUAAUAUUACUGACUAUAUUUCAUAUGCCACACAUUGCAUCCCCAUGACUUACUUAUUUUAUGAGUGGAAGUUUGCACCUCUCAAUCCCCUUCACCUAUUUUGUGCACAUCCAACCCCCUCCACCCUGUGGUAACCCCCCAUUUGUUUCCUGUAUCUCUGAGUCUGUUUCUGCUUUGUUUUGUGUUACAGAUAUCACAUAUAAGUGAAAUCAUACAAUAUUUGUCUUUUUCUGUCUGACUCAUUUCCCUUAGCCUAACACCCUCAAAGUCUAUUCAUGUUGCCGGUUCUUUCAUUGUAAGAACAGAAUUUAGGGACAUUUUAUUUUUGUUCUAGCUGUUACCUUUGUACUUACACCUUCCUUGUUUUCUUAGUUACCCUUUGACCAUCUGGUUUGCCAAUGUAAAAUUAGAUCCUUAACUCCCACCUAUUUUCUACCUGACAACCAAUGAGCUUCUUUUACUUUCUUUAUUCUCUCUUCUGCCCCUUACCAGUUUUUAGUUGCAUUAUUUCUAUUUGUUAUUUGUAUUUCUAUUUGUAUAGCAUUUGUAUAUCCGUCUUCCACCCUCAUUGUCUCCUUUGUUUUUGACUUAGAUCUACAAUCGACUUUAUAAAUGCUCACAUCAGUCCUUCUGCUAAAAUUUUCCAAUUACCUCUUAGUCCAAUGAAGCUCAACUCUAGGCUGUUCCUAAAGAAAGAUUCAUGUCCUGUGUGUUUCCAUGUUAUCCUAUAGCUUUGAUUUCAAAUUUGUAGAAAAUCCUUGUUUCAUAUAUAUAUAUUUUGAUUAAAAAUUUUUUUUAAUAUUUAUAUUUAUUUUUGAGACAGAGAGAUACAGAACAUGAGCAGGGGAGGGGCGGAGAGAGAGGGAGACACAGAAUCCAUAGCAGGCUCCAGGCUCCGAGCUGUCAGCCCAGAGCCCGACGGACACAGGGCUCAAACUCACAAACCGUGAGAUCAUGACCUGAGCCGAAGUUGGACACUUAACCGACUGAGCCACCCAGGCGCCCCUCAUAUAUUUUUUUAAUUAAGAUGUUUCUGUUUAUUUAUUUUUAAGUGCUAUUCUAUUGUUGUCUUGCUUUGAAUAUUUAUUUAUUUAUACUUCUGCCCUUGUAAUUGGGUCAUCUUUUUACCUAGAGGUCUUGAUUUUUUUUUUUUUAAAUCUCUAAAUUGUAACAGGUUUAAUAGGAUACAGCUUAGAACUGCUAAAUCUGGGUUCGUUUUCCCAGGACCCAGUGGCCCCUUUCAAUAUGAAGAUUCAAUUCUCUGGAAAAUUUUCUUACACUACAAUGUUAAAGUAUUAGACCUGUUCCAUUGUUCUGUUUUCCCUCUUCAAGGAGUCUCAUACUGUGAGUCUUAAUUCUUCAUGAUCUGUUUUCCAUUUCAGUAUUUUCUCUAUGACCCACUUUACUUCUUUUCCUUUCUCAUUUUUCUUUUCUUAGUUUUUCUACUUCUUGAAAUAUUUCUUGUUACAUUUUCAUUUUACUUUUUCUUAUCUUGAGCACCGUGUAAUUUAAUCUUCAUUUCUGAAAUAAUUAUCUUUUCUUCCGUUUUGAAAUUCACUGUCUUUUUAUUAUUUCCUGUUCUUCGUCCAUUUGUGUUCUUAGGGCAUGUAUUUCUCGUUCAAAAUCUUUUCUUUCAUGUUUCCAAAUACUAUUUUUUGGAUAUUUAAUACAGCUUUGAGUGUUCUUUUAUAGGUUUCUUCUGUUUCGUGGCUGCUUUCUUGGAGGCCAUUUUUUUUUAAUAUAAUUUAUUGUCAAGUUGGCUAACAUACAGUGUGUAAAGUGCACUCUUGGUUUUUGGGGUAGAUUCCCGUGGUUCAUCGCUUACAUACAACACCCAGUGCUCAUCCCAACAAGUGCCCUCCUCAAUGCCCAUCAUCCAUUCUCCUCCCCUCUCCUCCACCCCCCACCCUCAGUUUGUUCUCUGUAUUUGAGAGUCUUUUAUGGUUUGCCUCCCUCCCUCUCUCUUUGUAGCUUUUCCCCCCCUUCCCUUCCUACAUGGUCUUCCGUUAAAUUUCUCAAGAUCCACAUAUGAGUGAAACCAUAUGGUAUCUGUCUUCCUCUGACUGACUUAUUUCACUCAGCAUAAUACCUUCUAGUUCCAUCUAGUGAAGGUGUAGUAAGGAUCGUUAUUAUGAUCAUUUGUCAGAUCUUUGUGUUUGCUUAUUCAUUGCUUUCUGUUCAUUUUUGUCAUAUUGGGCUGCUUUUCAAGAUGACCGGUCUAGUGCCUUCUUCCGUCAGUGUAGCAAAGUCUGGAUUCUUUCAUGGUUUGGGGGGAGUGAGUGGAGCCAGGGAUUUGUGUCCUCUGGUUUCUGAAUACUCUUCAUCUUGCAGGGCCCUGAAUUUCCCCUUAAAUUUCUCUUCCCCUUCAACACCCAGUUUCCGUAGCGCCCUUCUCUCCUUUGUGCCCUUCUGCUUCCCCAGCCUUGCUUCACUGCAAAGACUGCCGCUUCAGAUCGCACAUACCUUCAGGUGUCUUCUCUUUAGGCUACACUUGGCUCUGUAUUCUUAAGUUAUGCUGAGAAUGCGGUUUUUAUGUAUUCUGUUCUUCUUGUUAUGCCUUGUCCAUUUUGAAGAAACAUUCGGAGAUGUGGACAUAGGCAGAUUCUGUUGUCUUUCUUCUGUCUCCCCUUUAUAUAUCUUUAUUGUAUUGGUAGAAUAUACCCCCGUGCUUUUCCUAAAGAUAUUUAUUUGUACUUUUUACCUCUUCUCUCUUUGACGUGAGUGCAUUUUUUGGCCUUUAAUCAUUUAUGCGUUAACCCAAUAAAUAUUUAUUCGGUAGUACUCCGUACUGCUCAAAGUGGCGAGUGGAACAGUGACAGAAUAUCAAAAUCCCAACCUAACUGGGAGCACGUUCUAGUAGAAGGAGAUAAACGAACCAAUAAGCAUGUUGUGGUAAGCACCUUGGAGAAGAAAAAAAUCAGGAAAAAGAGCAUAGGGAGUCCUGGGGUAGGUGAGGCUGUGUUGUGAAUGUAUAUAGGUAGUUAAGAAAGGGCUUACCAACACGGCGACAGUGGUUAGGGAACAAGGUGUGGCUAUCUGGGGAAAUGGUUUUCCAGGCAGAAGGAUCAAUGGGGACAAAAUGCCCAGCAUGGGAAAAUACAGCAGGGAGGCCAGCAUAGCUGGAGUAUGGUAGCUGAUGGGGAGAGGGCUACAUAAUGAGAUCAGAGAGGUAAGAGAAGGGCCACGAAGGGCCAUUGAAAAGACUUUGCUUUCAUUCUGAGUAAGAACAGAAGUAUUUGGAGGACAGAGGAUAGAGAGGAGACAUACUAUCACUUUUAUUUCUGAUAUUUCUUCUAGUCUAAUUUGUUGAGAACAGACUGGAAGAAGGGGUAACAAUAGAUACAGGAACGCCAAUUGGGAGGCUGUUGGCAUGAUCCAAGUGAAAUACGUUGGCAGCCUAGACCAGGAUACUUAGAAGUGUAGGCGGUGGUCACAUGACUGAUCUACUUUUAAGGUAUAGCAAACAAGAUUUGCCGCUGGAUUAUAUGUGAGAUUACGGUUCAUGACACUAUUUGCAAAGAACCGUGGCCACCUUCACUGUAAGCGUAGGCUCUUUGUAAACACCAGAUGUAAUCACUAGUAGGGGGACACCUAACAUUUCCUUCCCUGAAGUGGCAGCGACUUCGGGAAUCUGGGUAUAUGGUGCGGAAUAAAAGUUACGUGGUAUCAUUGGUUUGAGGCCAUGGGGCAAUCUAAAGCAAGCAUUGCUAACGGUGUUAUUUGGUGAUAGACACACACAGAUAAAUGGCCAGGGUCUUAUCAUCAGUGGGAUAAAGAAGAAAAAUGGUAAAGUGGCUGUGACAUCUUUCUUCCGCUCUUACACCGUGAAAGUAAUAAUGGAAAGCUGCACCCUUAAAAUCUUGUACUUCUCAGAGCGCCAAAGCAAAAGAAGAGUUCAAGUGUAUGUCAGAGAAGUUUUUCCAUCUUUGCCUGACGAUGUCUGCACAAAUGGGCUCGAGGAUUACUGUUUCUCAGAGGUUUUAAACACCUUCCAAAUGUUAGAGCAACAGCUGUGUUAUUGCAUAUUAGCAACGUCUCUGUAUCCUGAAGUUCUUCGACUUAACUAGGGUAAAUCCACUCAGUCUUGUAUUUAUUUCAACAUUUAAUGGUACUUACUGUGUAUCUGGCACUGUGCUAAGUGAUAAGGAUACAGCCGUAUCUUUACAGGCAGCUGCGGUCACUGUUCUCAUGCAGUUAAUGACCUAGUAGGAAGACAGACGUGUAACAGAUCGCAUAACUAUUGAAUUUCCCUGGUGAGAAAUGCUACAAAGGAGAAACAGAGCUUUCUCUGAGAACCUCAACCUGGCUGAAGGGUAGGGGACCAGUCUUGCCAAAGGUGAGAGGCCGUAUGCUGAGAGCAGUGACACAUUACUCCCCUUUAUGCAAUGAUCCCAGUCUGUUCUUGGGGAGAUUGCUGCUUCCCCGCAGUAUAGUAAGGCGGAUUAGAGGAUCAGGGGGCUGGAAUGGAUACUGGAUCGGUCACAGACACCACUCCAGUGUCCAGUUUCUUUCACCCAUUUUUUUUAUAAUGGCUGUUACAUUGUUGGUUCAGCUCAAUGUCCGCUGUGAUCAGCCUUCUCAUCUAACGUGUGUCAGAUAAUCAGAUGUGCUUUGGAGCUUCGCCAGCUACUAUCCACCUCCGUCUCUGCUACUACCCACCAGUUCUCCACUCGUGUCCAAGCUCUGUAUCCAGCUAGUAGAGAUCAUUUUGGGUUUCACUGCUUUCAGGAGCGUUGUCACUGCUUCUGAAUAUAACGCAGAAACUUGAAGGAGGAUGCCUCGCUUGGAGUCAUCCCCCUCACUGAUUCAACAGAAAAAAGAAUAAUAAAGUUAAAGGUUUCUGCUUUGUAUUUUCCCUUUCCAGCCCAUUCUCACCGCAUUAAAAUCUCCAGAUGGAUUGUGUUCAGUAAAAGCUACGCGUAUCUUCCUGGCCAUCCCCUUUGCUAUAAUCCGGUGCAAAGGCUCAUAUUUUCAAUGCGUGGGAAAAGGAGGGGCAGAGACGGUGGAACCAAAAUAAACAGAUGGUUACCUUGACAAUCUGUAAAAGGCUCUUUCGUGAGCAUUUUUCAUGGUUUUCUUUUGAAAUAGUGAGACAGCGAUACGAUUUUUAUCUCGUCGACCUCCUGCAAAUGGCCCCAUGGCUUUCAAACUCCACAAAAUACCACAAUGCCUCUGCCAGGAAGCCACCUUUGCUUAGCCUGACUCCUUCGAGGUCCCAUCCCACGUCCCUCAGGAAAUGUCUCUGGGACCUGUUCUCUGGGGCAGGUGCUGUGGGUAUGAACGCGAGUGAGGCACAGCAAGGGGGCCGUGAUAUUUGGGGGGGGAGACAGAGAAGGACAAUUAUCAUCACGUGAAGCAGAAUGUCAUUAGCAAGAGCAAGGGUUCAGAAUGACAUGAUGGCACAGAGAGGGAGAAAACUCCCUCUCAAUGGUAGAAUCAAGCAGAAGGAGAAAAGUGGUGGCACUGACGGGGACGAGGGAGCCAAGUUUGAGCAGAAGACUUGGGUCGGACGGGGGUGAUUGUGAGUGGGAGAUGGGUCAGGAAGUCCAACUUUCAGGAAGAUGAACAGAAAUAAUAAAAUUGGACAUUGUAACAUUGACUUAGGCACAUGGUUUCUACUUUGUCAGUUUAAAUUUACUUUUUCAAAAAAAUUUUUUAAAUGUUUAUUUAUUUUUGAGAGAGAGCAUGAGCAGGGGUAAGGGAGAGAGAGGGGGAAACACAGAAUCUCAGGCAUGUUCCAGGCUCUGAGCCAUCCGCACAGAGCCUGAUGCGAGGCUCAAACUCGUGAGAUCAUGACCUGGGCUGAUGUCGGUCGCUUAACCAACUGAGCCACCCAAGAGCCCUUCUACUGUCAGUUUAAGGUUAUUUGCACAUUGGUUUGUAAAUGUAUGUUCAAAACAAAACAAAACAAAACAAAAAACCAAAACUACAGUAGAGGCUCUUGUCCCAAGUUCUGAAAAUAUUUAUUUCAUAAAUAUGUUUGAAUAUCCUUUUGUAUUUUUACAUGCUCAGAUCCCUUAUCUAGAUUAUAACAUUGCACAAACUUGCAAUGGUGUACAUAAUAAAGGCCCAACAAGUACAAAGCAAUCAGUACAACUCAGUGGCUGAAGACAUAAGCUUUGGAGUCAGAUCUGAGUUGAAGACCCCACUCUAUCAUUUCCUAACUUCAUGUUCACCUGACAGGUUAGGUCGGGUGAUCCUUGAUAUUUCUUAUCUGCAAAAUGCAGGCAGUAUUAGGGCUUAUCUUACAUUGUUACUCAGUGUUACUCAAGGUUACACAAGCCAUUGCACACAAAGUCCUAAGCACAGUGCCUGGCAUCUGUUAAUGAUCAGGGAAGAUUCAUUAUUAGUUAUGGCUCCAAAACGUAGAGUGUUUGUAAGAUUUUCUCUGGAGACACAUAUCAAUAGGACUUCUAACGUAUCUAAAUGUUCAUUCCUAUUGCAGUGCAAGAAAAUAUGCAGGGAAUUAAAACCAUCUCAAACUUUUUAAAACAUUGAGAACCAUUAAAAUGCCCCAGAUUUCAUCAGCUUGUGAAGUCACAGCCUCCUUUUAUGCCAAAUCACAGUAGUCUAAACCCCCGUUAUAUAUGCCUUCAAUAAGUUCAGUCUUGUUUUUCAGAUAUUCAGACACAUUGCAGACUCCUUAGAAAAUUUUCAGGCGAAGAGAACCUCCCUACCUAGCCCUUGGCUUGCCCUUGUGUUAUAGAGUCCAGUUUAUCUCCCUCAAAGUGAGUUUCACUGAGCAUUUUUCCACUUCUAAAUGCCCCAAAGGAAGGAGCUGUCCUUUUUCUCGCCCUAGCCCAGGGCUCCAUCCCGAUAUCUUCAGUGACCUCUUCAAAGGACAUUUUGUCUAUAGGAGGGACCUCUUCCUUCAAAGGAAAUCUCCCUCCCACCAGGUGGCCCUUAAAAGACAACAAACAGGUCCCAGAUUAGGCCCCUAAUUCUCAUUCCCAACUAGAAGGAACCAGGGCUCCUGGAGGGGAUGCCUGGUCCCAGAUCUGAAGCAGGAAAUAUCCUAGAUGAGCCCGGGGAUACUGUGUUGUGUCAGAAAGGAAGGAAGAUAGACUUACGUCCAAAGGACCCAGGGGCCAACAAAAAGGUGCUCCCAUUAGCCAGAGAGGAAAUAAAUGUAGCAUCUAAAAAGAAUAUUGGGGGCGCCUGAGUGGCUUAGUCAGUUGAGCCUCCAACUCUUGAUUUUGGCUCAGGUCAUGGUCUUGCGGUUUGUAGGUUCGAGUCCUGCAUUGGGCUUUCUGUUGUCAGCACCGAGCCCGCUUUGGGUCCUCUGCCCGCCUCUCUCUGCCUCUCUCUCUCUCUCUCUCUCUCUCUCUCUCUCUCUC
Long non-coding RNA from Acinonyx jubatus (cheetah), 15870 nucleotides. RefSeq lists it as uncharacterized. The record is from RefSeq and is a predicted model, not a curated record. NCBI's taxonomy places the organism in Eukaryota, Metazoa, Chordata, Mammalia, Carnivora, Felidae. The transcript has 2 exons.